ACUGACUGAGCGGAAAGGUCCAGUUACUCAUUCUGGUGUGUUUUUUCCAUGUUUUUUACUGACAUACUUCGUGUGUUGAAACUGCUAUCCAUUUUCUCCAAAAUAUCUCUUGCUCGUUUCAUCACAUGCGGAACACUUUCAGAACAAUUAAAGUAUAUAGUUGAUCGCUACAGAUUUAGUUAAUGACUAGAGAGUAGACCCCUUUGUUUCUCUGUUGCAAUUAUGAGUUAAAACCAUUAUGGAAAUGUGGAUUACAUUUGUUAUUUUCAAGUUGGAAAACUUGACAACUACAAAUUCCUUUGUAAGAUUUAUCAAGCCAGGUGAAGUCUGCGCUUCUUUGUUGCAGUCUAAUGUGCACAUGGAUUGGUUGCAGUCAUCCAGUGAAAGGUGUGAUUAAAUUGAGCUGUUGCAUGCAGUCUUUGGUGCUGAUGUUGUCCUGGAGUGUGGGAGAGUUCCAUGCUUCAAGUCUUCUGGGAUCAGCCACAUCUGAGUUAACGCUGGAUCAUGCUGCAUUGUGGUUGCCGAAAUGUUGAACAUCUAGUAGAGCUGCAAGAAGACUCCUUGAAAUGGUUUAUGUUUACGUAGCAGUGAUGUUGCUGUCCAAUAUGGCAUGUUGUUGCAGCCUAUACUGGUGAAAGAUUUUUUGCAUCGAGUUAUGCUGUUGCUGUUCCUUGGUGCCGGACUGCUGGUGUUGUGCACAAAAGUUACAUACAGUUUUAAUUGUUAUUUGUGUCUGCAGUUAACCGUUUAUAUGUUGAAAAGGAACAGAAAAGUUCCUUGUUGUUGAAUCGCUGGAGUUGUGCUACAUAAGUUACAUCCAGUAUUUUGUUUGAUUGCUAUGUGCGUCUAUGAAGUUAACCGUUUAUAUGUUGAGAAUGAAAAAAUAGUAAUACGGGGAAUUUUUACGUUGAACAAAUAAUAAACAUGCCUUCGCGAUUGGGAAAUCAGCGAGGAGGAGAUUGGGGGGGGGCAAUUGAAUAUCAUUAACUAGAAGAAAUCGUGGUUUGUUUUAAUAAGGUAGAAAUAAAAUCCUUUGUCUAUCACAUCCAUAUACCUACCUAUAUAACUACAUCUAUUCCUCAAACCCCAUAACUUCCACCAACAUCCAUUCCUUAAACUCCCAUUUCCCCACAAAUGUCAAAUAUCUGUAAUAUGUAAAUAUUAUUGUUGAAUAAAUAAACAAACUAUAAAAUAUGUAAAA
Molecule: long non-coding RNA, 1201 nt
Organism: Daphnia pulex (common water flea)
Lineage: Eukaryota; Metazoa; Arthropoda; Branchiopoda; Diplostraca; Daphniidae
Exons: 3
Source: RefSeq, a predicted model, not a curated record